CAGCCGCCGCGGUAAUACGGAGGGAGCUAACGUUGUUCGGAAUUACUGGGCGUAAAGCGCGCGUAGGCGGUUACUCAAGUCAGAGGUGAAAGCCCGGAGCUCAACUCCGGAAUUGCCUUUAAGACUGCCGAGCUAGCAGGUGAGAGAGGUAAGUGGAAUUCCGAGUGUAGAGGUGAAAUUCGUAGAUAUUCGGAAGAACACCAGUGGCGAAGGCGGCUUACUGGCUCAUACUGGACGCUGAGGUGCGAAAGCGUGGGGAGCAAACAGGAUUAGAUACCCGUGUAGUCCCUGUCUCUUAUAA
Molecule: ribosomal RNA, 301 nt
Filed under: uncultured bacterium
Lineage: Bacteria
Description: partial 16S ribosomal RNA
Rfam family: Bacterial small subunit ribosomal RNA
Source: RNAcentral